AGAGUUUGAUUCAUGGCUCAGGAUGAACGCUAGCGGGAGGCCUAACACAUGCAAGCCGAGCGGUAUUUGUCUUUCGGGACAGAGAGAGCGGCGUACGGGUGCGGAACACGUGUGCAACCUGCCUUUAUCAGGGAGAUAGCCUUUCGAAAGGAAGAUUAAUAUCCCAUAAUAUAUUGAGUGGCAUCAUUUAAUAUUGAAAGCUCCGGCGGAUAGAGAUGGGCACGCGCAAGAUUAGAUAGUUGGUGAGGUAACGGCUCACCAAGUCAGUGAUCUUUAGGGGGCCUGAGAGGGUGAUCCCCCACACUGGUACUGAGACACGGACCAGACUCCUACGGGAGGCAGCAGUGAGGAAUAUUGGACAAUGGGUGAGAGCCUGAUCCAGCCAUCCCGCGUGAAGGACGACGGUUCUAUGGAUUGUAAACUUCUUUUAUACUGGGAUAAACCUACUCUCGUGAGAGUAGCUGAAGGUACAGUAUGAAUAGCAUCGGC
Molecule: ribosomal RNA, 489 nt
Filed under: Flavobacteriaceae bacterium JJ-2752
Lineage: Bacteria; Pseudomonadati; Bacteroidota; Flavobacteriia; Flavobacteriales; Flavobacteriaceae
Description: bacterial SSU rRNA
Rfam family: Bacterial small subunit ribosomal RNA
Source: RNAcentral